CAGCUGGAAGUUUAGUGAACCUUAUCACUUAGAGGAAGGAGAAGUCGUAACAAGGUUUCCGUAGGUGAACCUGCGGAAGGAUCAUUCG
Molecule: ribosomal RNA, 88 nt
Filed under: Hematodinium sp. FE44,12b
Lineage: Eukaryota; Dinophyceae; Syndiniales; Syndiniaceae
Also listed under: 2 other names
Description: partial 18S ribosomal RNA
Rfam family: Eukaryotic small subunit ribosomal RNA
Source: RNAcentral